CCUACGGGAGGCAGCAGUGAGGAAUUUUGCGCAAUGGGCGAAAGCCUGACGCAGCGACGCCGCGUGGAGGAUGAAGGCCUUCGGGUCGUAAAGCCCUGUCAGGUGGGAAGAAACCUACUGGCUCGAAUAGGGCUGGUAGCUGACGGUACCACCAGAGGAAGCACCGGCUAACUCCGUGCCAGCAGCCGCGGUAAUACGGAGGGUGCGAGCGUUGCUCGGAGUCACUGGGCGUAAAGCGCGUGUAGGCGGUCGGGCAAGUCAGAGGUGAAAGCCCCUGGCUAAACCAGGAAAGUGCAUUUGAAACUGCUUGGCUGAAGUACGGGAGAGGAGAGUGGAAUUCCCGGUGUAGAGGUGAAAUUCGUAGAUAUCGGGAGGACCACCGGUGGCGAAGGCGGCUCUCGGGCCCGAUACUGACGCUGAGACGCGAAAGCGUGGGGAGCAAACAGGAUUAGAUCCCCCGGUAGU
RNAcentral lists this ribosomal RNA (465 nucleotides) under uncultured delta proteobacterium. RNAcentral describes it as "partial 16S ribosomal RNA". It matches the Rfam family "Bacterial small subunit ribosomal RNA", at positions 338 to 794 of the family's 1533-position model. The record is from RNAcentral. Lineage: Bacteria; Deltaproteobacteria.